Molecule: long non-coding RNA, 2787 nt
Organism: Papaver somniferum (opium poppy)
Lineage: Eukaryota; Viridiplantae; Streptophyta; Magnoliopsida; Ranunculales; Papaveraceae
Exons: 10
Source: RefSeq, a predicted model, not a curated record
CUUAUCUCUCUCUCCUCUCUCUUUCUCCCUGUAUCGCUACUUCCCCCUGCUACACCCGUGAAUACCGACCAUUAACAUUGAAAUUCAUUCUUCCCCCUUUUGAAUAUACCACCAUCGAAGUAUCUUUCUGUCUGUAGAACCCCAAAAGAAAAACCUAAUGGUCGUUGCAGCUGGUCCGAUCUCCUUGGUGUCUGUAAGAAGAGGAAAUCAAGAAAUUAUCAUGGGUUUUCAUUAUUGAGAGUUAAGAAGAGGAAUUUGAAAUUGAUUCUCAAAUUACAGGGAAGGAAUUAGAGGAUUAGGUUUCGUUUUACGUCUAAGAUUAAGAAGCUAAUUGAGAAAAUUAGGGUUUUGUUUGUGCUACAAAUCGAAGAAUUAAACGGAAUCAAUAAAUGGGUUUGUUUUAAUUAGGUUUAGAAUUGGUUUAUUAAUGGAUUCGAGUUUUAUGGAUUAGGGUUUCUAAUAGAUUGGGGAUUUAGGGUUCAUGGAUUUGAAUUAUAGAUGAAAAAGAUGAAACUGAUGGUGAGAAAUUAUAAGAAGAAAAUUGAGUUUGUGUCUGAGGAAAAAGUUUUUAUAGGAGGAUAAUUGUUGCAGGUGGUGGUGGUUUAAUGAGCUACAGAACUAUGAAGAUUGUGAUGGAGAUGGAAUUGAAAUAAUAGUUCGGUUGGUGUGGUCUUGAAUGAGCUACGACAGUUGAUCUUAGUUUGGUUUAGAUUGUAAUGAUUUGAAUGGUGAUGAUGAGUAUUGGUUGUGCUGAGAUGCUUUUGAUGAUGAUGCUAUGGUCAGUCAUAAUGGUUGUGACUGAAAGAUAUUGAAAUGAAUAAUGUUGCUGCUAUGAAGAUGGUGGUUUAAAUGUCUAUGUGGCUGAAUGAUAGUGAUUUGAAGGAAUGACGCUAAUCUGAAGAGAUUUGAAAUGUUCAUAAAUUUUAGAUCAAGAUCUUGAAACAUGAGUGGCCAGCUAGGUGGUGAAAUUUUAUUCCGGAUCUUGUUUUAGUAGCGAAGACAAGUGAAACACUAUGUUAGAAUUUCAUGGUUGUAUUAAAGCUUCUCAGUGAAGAGAUGUUGGAAUUUUCACCUGGUGCAAUGAUUCAGCAGAAGAUCAAAGAGCUAAAAUAAUCAUUGAAUAGUUUUGAUGGCAUUGCUAUUCUCAUUGUUAUGUUACAUCAUCAUGUGUCUACGGGGUUAUUUAUCGAAUAGAAAAGUUGUGAUUGUACAUAUGUUAGAAAAAUGCCUUGGACGCCUAAUCGGCUUCGUUAUCAUUAGUUUACCCUAUCAUCUGUGUUAGCUAAACACAGUUAUUAUGAAUGAAUUCUGUAGUUGGUCUACGUCGCAUGGUUUGUUUUUCUCUUAUCAUAGCUUACAUACACAUUUUUUCUUGCAGUGAGUUUCAACCUAUUCACGAGCUAUGCCUAUAUGUGCUAUCCGCAUCUCAAAGAACUGAGCUAUAAGAGCAACACUGGCUACGUUGCACGCUUUCCUUUCAUGGUUUCCUUUGGGCUACAUAUUUGAAUCCCCACUGGUUUGCGCACUAAUUACUAGACUGUUGCCAUUUUUUGUUUCAAAUAAUGAAAAUUUAGAACGAUAAAAAAAAGUUCAUGUCUAAUAAAACACUAUCUUUUAAUCAAUCCUGGCGUCUCUUCCUUCCAAUCUUCUGUAGGCUAAUUGACUAAUGUAUUUUUCUUUUCCUUUUUCGUGGGUAUAUUAUAGCUAAAGACACUUUUGAAUUUCUUUCCGUGGCAGGGUGUGGCAGCAUAUAGGAAUCUUACUCUUCAAUGUUUGUCUGAGGGAUGGAGUUUGAGUCUAAUAUAUUGAGUUUAAUGCUGGAGAUGAGGUGGCGGUGUUCAGUUCAUGUAGUAAACAUGCUUAUAUUUCCCAGCAACUCAAGACUGAGAGCAUCACUAGUCAGCUCUUCCUUCUUCACUGGGCUUAGCAGAAGCACAUGAUCCCUCCAUUGUAGAGACACUACUUCCAAAACACAUAAGGUCUUAUUUUCGUAGUUGAAAGCAAUGACAGAGACCGUGUUACUGAGGCAAGGGAUGAACUGCAGACGAAGUUUAGUGAGGCUUUUGUGAAGUUUGUCUAACCGAUAGAAGUGGCAUUUUCUUACUUCAGUUAGUGUUUUUAUCACCUUGCUUGGUGCUGACUUCAUGAGAAUGAAAUCUUUCGGCAAAGUUGAAGAGUUUGCGGAGACUUUGGUUAGUAAACUAGAUAGAAGUUGGAAAAAGGGCAUCUGCAAGACUUACCGCAUGCAAAAUUCUCAAACAUAGGUAGAAGAUAACGGAGAAGAACAUGAAGAGCAUGGAACCCAAGAAGAAGAGGCUGUUGAUGUCGAUGUUGAUUCUACAGAUGACACUAUUGUUACAAUUCUUUUUGACAAUGGCUACUCUCAUGGUGUACAUUGGUUUUGCAGGUCACAGAUAUGAUUAGUAAGUGCGACUAUUUACAAGGCUGGUUAUGAAGCAACAAGAAGCUAUCCUUGUUUGAGCAUGUAGGUAAUGAAUGCUGAGCUUGUCUCCAGUCUUGUGCCUUUAAGAUUGUACCUACUACUGCUAUUACACUUCACAUUACAACUGCAACUGCAGAAUUUCUAUGUUAUGAAAACUUAGGAAAUGUUUACAUACUUGUCAUUUUUUUGAUACUACGCACAGAAUUUGUAUGUCCUUGGAACUUAAGAAAUAUUUCUAGCUACAGAUUGGAACUUAAGAAAUUUAUUGUAUUGCCUAAGUAGUUCUUUUCAGAGGUAUACAGAAUAAGUCUUUAGUUUAUGAUUUGAUGAGUUGCAUAAGUUCA